UACGUAGGGGGCAAGCGUUGUCCGGAUUUAUUGGGCGUAAAGAGCGUGUAGGCGGCCAGGUAGGUCAGCUGUGAAAACUCGAGGCUCAACCUCGAGACGCCGGUUGAAACCAUCUGGCUAGAGUCCGGAAGAGGAGAGUGAAAUUCCUGGUGUAGCGGUGAAAUGCGCAGAUAUCAGGAAGAACACCCGUGGCUAAGGCGGCUCUCUAGUACGGUACUGACGCUGAGACGCGCAAGCGUGGGGAGCAAACAGG
Molecule: ribosomal RNA, 253 nt
Filed under: uncultured bacterium
Lineage: Bacteria
Description: partial 16S ribosomal RNA
Rfam family: Bacterial small subunit ribosomal RNA
Source: RNAcentral